CCUACGGGAGGCAGCAGUGGGGAAUAUUGCACAAUGGGCGCAAGCCUGAUGCAGCGACGCCGCGUGAGGGAUGGAGGCCUUCGGGUUGUAAACCUCUUUCGCCAGUGAAGCAGGCCAUCUUCUUUGUGGGGUGGUUGACGGUAGCUGGAUAAGAAGCGCCGGCUAACUACGUGCCAGCAGCCGCGGUAAUACGUAGGGCGCGAGCGUUGUCCGGAAUUAUUGGGCGUAAAGAGCUCGUAGGCGGCUGGUCGCGUCUGUCGUGAAAUCCCCUGGCUUAACUGGGGGCUUGCGGUGGGUACGGGCCGGCUUGAGUGCGGUAGGGGAGACUGGAAUUCCUGGUGUAGCGGUGGAAUGCGCAGAUAUCAGGAGGAACACCGGUGGCGAAGGCGGGUCUCUGGGCCGUUACUGACGCUGAGGAGCGAAAGCGUGGGGAGCGAACAGGAUUAGAUACCCUGGUAGUCCACGCCGUAAACGUUGGGCACUAGGUGUGGGGGCUCUUUCCGGGGUUUCCGCGCCGUAGCUAACGCAUUAAGUGCCCCGCCUGGGGAGUACGGCCGCAAGGCUAAAACUCAAAGGAAUUGACGGGGGCCCGCACAAGCGGCGGAGCAUGCGGAUUAAUUCGAUGCAACGCGAAGAACCUUACCAAGGCUUGACAUGUGAGCGUCUGCCUCAGAGAUGGGGUUUCCUCCUUGUGGGGCGCUUUCACAGGUGGUGCAUGGUUGUCGUCAGCUCGUGUCGUGAGAUGUUGGGUUAAGUCCCGCAACGAGCGCAACCCUUGUCCCGUGUUGCCAGCACGUUGUGGUGGGGACUCGCGGGAGACUGCCGGGGUCAACUCGGAGGAAGGUGGGGAUGACGUCAAAUCAUCAUGCCCCUUAUGUCUUGGGCUUCACGCAUGCUACAAUGGCCGGUACAGAGGGUUGCGAUGUCGUGAGGCGGAGCGAAUCCCUUAAAGCCGGUCUCAGUUCGGAUCGGUGUCUGCAACUCGACACCGUGAAGUUGGAGUCGCUAGUAAUCGCAGAUCAGCAACGCUGCGGUGAAUACGUUCUCGGGCCUUGUACACACCGCCCGUCACGUCAUGAAAGUCGGCAACACCCGAAGCCCGUGGCCUUACGGGGAGCGGUCGAAGGUGGGGCUGGUGAUUGGGACGAAGUCGUAACAAGGUAGCCGUACCGGAAGGUGCGGCUGGAUCACCUCCUUU
RNAcentral lists this ribosomal RNA (1198 nucleotides) under Cutibacterium avidum. RNAcentral describes it as "bacterial SSU rRNA". It matches the Rfam family "Bacterial small subunit ribosomal RNA", at positions 338 to 1533 of the family's 1533-position model. The record is from RNAcentral. Lineage: Bacteria; Bacillati; Actinomycetota; Actinomycetes; Propionibacteriales; Propionibacteriaceae.